GGGGGCGUAAAUGGUUUCGACGGGGAUAUAGAAGGAAGAUAAGCGAGUCGUUGUCGCCAAACAACGCAAAAAGUGGCAACUAAAUAUAAACGCAAAAGAAAAUAAUAAUUUAGCAUUCGCAGCGUAAGCUGCUCGCUUGUCCCGCUCAGACCACCUGCAGUUUGAACCGGGGCAUCAUCUAAAGCAGGGAACGAUUUAAGGGGCUCUUCGACCUUAAGUUGUACAAUCGAAGAUAGCUGAGACUUAAGCCCGGACAUAGGCGUAAGUCAAGGCGAAACAAAAAAUGUGUCCUGCACUCGGAGAAAGUCUUGUGGAAAUAUUUUCGGACGUGGGUUCGACUCCCACCGCCUCCAUCU
RNAcentral lists this transfer-messenger RNA (356 nucleotides) under Clostridiales bacterium. It matches the Rfam family "transfer-messenger RNA". From Rfam's summary of the family: Bacterial tmRNA, also known as 10Sa RNA or SsrA, is named for its dual tRNA and mRNA-like properties. Its role is to liberate the mRNA from a stalled ribosome. The record is from RNAcentral. Lineage: Bacteria; Bacillati; Bacillota; Clostridia; Eubacteriales. RNAcentral also lists the same sequence under 1 other name.